UUCAGGUGCUCGCGAUCCGGUCCCCAUCGGAUUGCAGUUAAACGGGAAACAGGGAGUCCGCCACGCCGCCGCGCGAUGCCGGUCCAACCUGUGCUGCCCCCGCAACGGUAAGCGAUUGCGAUCGCCGCCGCGCCCGAGCCGAUCGGCACGAUCGUCUCCACGCCCCCGGCCUCGCCUCACCGUCCCACAUGCCACUGGACCGAUGGUUCCGGGAAGGCGGACGGUGCCGAUCGCCAGCCCGGAUACCGGCCUGGAUGCGGGCAUGCCG
RNAcentral lists this non-coding RNA (268 nucleotides) under Cupriavidus sp. HPC(L). RNAcentral also lists the same sequence under 1 other name. Lineage: Bacteria; Pseudomonadati; Pseudomonadota; Betaproteobacteria; Burkholderiales; Burkholderiaceae. The record is from RNAcentral.